Molecule: transfer RNA, 69 nt
Filed under: Tinda javana
Lineage: Eukaryota; Metazoa; Arthropoda; Insecta; Diptera; Stratiomyidae
Description: tRNA-Gln
Source: RNAcentral
UAUAUUUUAGUGUACGAAGCACAAAAGUUUUUGAUACUUUUAGAAAUAGUUUAAUUCUGUUAAAUAUAA